UGGUGAGAUAGUGGCUCACCAAGGCGACGAUGCAUAGCCGACCUGAGAGGGUGAUCGGCCACACUGGGACUGAGACACGGCCCAGACUCCUACGGGAGGCAGCAGUAGGGAAUCUUCCGCAAUGGACGCAAGUCUGACGGAGCAACGCCGCGUGAGUGAUGAAGGGUUUCGGCUCGUAAAACUCUGUUGUUAAGGAAGAACACUUGAGGUAGUAACUGGCCUUGAGAUGACGGUACUUAACCAGAAAGCCACGGCUAACUACGUGCCAGCAGCCGCGGUAAUACGUAGGGGGCAAGCGUUGUCCGGAAUUAUUGGGCGUAAAGGGUGCGUAGGCGGCCUUUUAAGUCAGGUGUGAAAGCCCACGGCUUAACCGUGGGAUUGCAUUUGAAACUGGAAGGCUUGAGUAUCGGAGAGGGUAGUGGAAUUCCCAGUGUAGCGGUGAAAUGCGUAGAUAUUGGGAGGAACACCAGUGGCGAAGGCGACUACCUGGACGAAAACUGACGCUGAUGCACGAAAGCUAGGGGAGCAAACAGGAUUAGAUACCCUGGUAGUCCUAGCUGUAAACGAUGGGUACUAGGUGUAGGAGGUUUCGAUACCUUCUGUGCCGGAGUUAA
RNAcentral lists this ribosomal RNA (614 nucleotides) under uncultured bacterium. RNAcentral's name for it is "bacterial SSU rRNA". It matches the Rfam family "Bacterial small subunit ribosomal RNA", at positions 250 to 855 of the family's 1533-position model. The record is from RNAcentral.